UUCCUUUCUUGAAAUCAGAGCAAGUAAUGUCCAGCAAGUAAUAAUGUUAAGCUCUGUCAUUGAUGGAGACAAAAUUAGUGCUGACAAUACCACUGGAGGAGCAGUAACAAUUAAGACCUUGAAUAUAUCAGAAAGCCUAAUGAGUUCUUAUUCCAUGGUUAAGUUUGUAAAGAAUAUUGAUCACUUGGAGAACAACUGUCAACAGUCGACUCAAGAAGACAAGUGUGCCAACUUGUCCAGGUCAGUAGAAGGUCCCAGUCAGCAUGCCAACUCAUCUUACAGCUCCCAAACAAACAUGCAUGGUCGACAACUGGAAUACAAUCGUCUUCCUGAUAUAACAGAAUCGUCCAUCACUGAAAACCAUUAAAGCUGCAUAUAUUUUUUGGGUUCUUCCAUCGUAAUCGACAGUGAAUGUUUGUUGUUUUCUUGUGUCAUUUGUGUUUUUCUUGAAUCUCUGU
RNAcentral lists this long non-coding RNA (458 nucleotides) under Carica papaya (papaya). Its description in RNAcentral is "long non-coding RNA (CPAP_LNC005516)". The record is from RNAcentral. Lineage: Eukaryota; Viridiplantae; Streptophyta; Magnoliopsida; Brassicales; Caricaceae.